UGCAGUCGAGCGCGCCCUUCGGGGUGAGCGGCGGACGGGUUAGUAACGCGUGGGAAUAUACCCUUUUCUGCGGAAUAGCCUCUGGAAACGGAGAGUAAUACCGCAUACGCCCUUCGGGGGAAAGAUUUAUCGGGGAAGGAUUAGCCCGCGUUAGAUUAGGUAGUUGGUGGGGUAAUGGCCUACCAAGCCUACGAUCUAUAGCUGGUUUUAGAGGAUGAUCAGCAACACUGGGACUGAGACACGGCCCAGACUCCUACGGGAGGCAGCAGUGGGGAAUCUUGGACAAUGGGCGCAAGCCUGAUCCAGCCAUGCCGCGUGAGUGAUGAAGGCCUUAGGGUCGUAAAGCUCUUUCGCCUGUGAAGAUAAUGACGGUAGCAGGUAAAGAAACCCCGGCUAACUCCGUGCCAGCAGCCGCGGUAAUACGGAGGGGGUUAGCGUUGUUCGGAAUUACUGGGCGUAAAGCGCACGUAGGCGGACUGGAAAGUUGGGGGUGAAAUCCCAGGGCUCAACCCUGGAACUGCCUCCAAAACUAUCAGUCUAGAGUUCGAGAGAGGUGAGUGGAAUUCCGAGUGUAGAGGUGAAAUUCGUAGAUAUUCGGAGGAACACCAGUGGCGAAGGCGGCUCACUGGCUCGAUACUGACGCUGAGGUGCGAAAGUGUGGGGAGCAAACAGGAUUAGAUACCCUGGUAGUCCACACCGUAAACGAUGAAUGCCAGUCGUCGGGUAGCAUGCUAUUCGGUGACACACCUAACGGAUUAAGCA
Molecule: ribosomal RNA, 762 nt
Filed under: Ruegeria sp.
Lineage: Bacteria; Pseudomonadati; Pseudomonadota; Alphaproteobacteria; Rhodobacterales; Roseobacteraceae
Description: bacterial SSU rRNA
Rfam family: Bacterial small subunit ribosomal RNA
Source: RNAcentral